RNAcentral lists this unclassified non-coding RNA (294 nucleotides) under Hevea brasiliensis (rubber tree). Lineage: Eukaryota; Viridiplantae; Streptophyta; Magnoliopsida; Malpighiales; Euphorbiaceae. The record is from RNAcentral.
AAAGCAGUCAAAUAACGUUUGAGUAGAUUAGAAAUGGUAGCAAUGAAAAGCAAGUUGAUCCAACCUUUACUCGAACAAAAGCAAAAAGCAAGGUAGCGAAGAAGAGCACUUGAAUGUUUAUCGAAAUAUUAAUGUAUUUAGAGUAGCAAGAGAGCAAUGACAAUGAAGAGUGAUGAGAACUUGUGAUUUUGAGAGUGAAUGAGUGUAUGUAUUGUUGAGUUGAUCAAUUCCUCUCCUUAAACAAAUAAAAGGGGUCUUAUUUAUAUAGCAAAGAGGGGUGCACUUAAUAAGGAA